RNAcentral lists this transfer RNA (68 nucleotides) under Marmota monax (woodchuck). RNAcentral describes it as "tRNA.Ala". The stretch from base 3 to 63 matches the Rfam family "tRNA", at positions 6 to 65 of the family's 71-position model. Rfam says of the family: Transfer RNA (tRNA) molecules are approximately 80 nucleotides in length. Their secondary structure includes four short double-helical elements and three loops (D, anti-codon, and T loops). Further hydrogen bonds mediate the characteristic L-shaped molecular structure. tRNAs have two regions of fundamental functional importance: the anti-codon, which is responsible for specific mRNA codon recognition, and the 3' end, to which the tRNAs corresponding amino acid is attached (by aminoacyl-tRNA synthetases). tRNAs cope with the degeneracy of the genetic code in two manners: having more than one tRNA (with a specific anti-codon) for a particular amino acid; and 'wobble' base-pairing, i.e. permitting non-standard base-pairing at the 3rd anti-codon position. The record is from RNAcentral. Lineage: Eukaryota; Metazoa; Chordata; Mammalia; Rodentia; Sciuridae.
GCUGUGGCUCAAUGGUAGAGUGCUCGCCUAGCAAGUGUGAGGCCCUGGGUUUGAUCCUCAGCACUGUA